CUCUGUAGUGUUUAACGGUAGCAUGCGUGGUUUGGGACCACGUGGUUCUGGUUCGAAUCCAGACAGAG
RNAcentral lists this transfer RNA (68 nucleotides) under Vigna angularis (adzuki bean). It matches the Rfam family "tRNA". Rfam says of the family: Transfer RNA (tRNA) molecules are approximately 80 nucleotides in length. Their secondary structure includes four short double-helical elements and three loops (D, anti-codon, and T loops). Lineage: Eukaryota; Viridiplantae; Streptophyta; Magnoliopsida; Fabales; Fabaceae. The record is from Rfam by way of RNAcentral.